This is a long non-coding RNA of Columba livia (rock pigeon), 1230 nucleotides long. RefSeq lists it as uncharacterized. The transcript has 3 exons. Lineage: Eukaryota; Metazoa; Chordata; Aves; Columbiformes; Columbidae. The record is from RefSeq and is a predicted model, not a curated record.
GCGUUAAGGACUUGAAGAUGGCUGAAUAGUGAUAUAUUUAUCACCCAUUAUCUUACUAAAAGAUUAAACAAAUGAGUAAAGACUAUCUCAUUAACAGUUCUUUGUUGUCUUGUUUACUGUUUAGUGGACUCAUUAACAUUAAUUAUUAGAAGAGGAACAUCAAUUAUUGCAGUAACCUUGUCAAGCCUAGCAAACCGACUGCUAAACAGCAAACGGAUCCAUGUUUAUCAGGCAGGAUUUGUGUGGACAGAAAGAAGAAGAAAAGACCCCUGAAAUCCGUGACGUUGCUGUAAACCGGCAGAAAUUCAGGCUCGCGUGUUAAUUCUGGCAUCAGCGGAGUAUCCUGCUCGAGACCACUAGCCAGAGAAUACAAGAAAAACCAACCCCAGGUGGAGACCUCCUCCCCUGCCCAAGCAGAGAUUCAAUGUUUCAUCAGUAUUUUAAACACACGCAUAUUUCAGCAGCUCCGGCAGGAGUUAAAUAUCAGCAGUAGCACAUCCAUUAUUUAAAAUACCGCGAGGAAGAAGGCUGAGUCACUAAGCUGGAUCAGUGACCUUCGACACUGUUUCUCAGCCUAAAUACAAGUGCCAGCCUGCGCCCAAGAACGAAACGAACCUUUCCAGAAGGGCCCCGAGCCAAAUCCAAGGGGACUUCAAGACACUUGGCUGAGUUGGAAGUUUUGAUGCCUCGCCAAUUGCCUUCAGGCUGCAAAUCUUAGAAGAUGAGAUUUUCCUAUGGCAUGUGACUUUUCUGGCUGAAACUCAGCUCAGAGGAGCAGACAGAACGGAGGUUAAAGUAACCCAUUAAAAAUCAUAAUAAACUCACUGUACAUUCUAAGUAAAAGUUGCAUGGAAUGAAAAUAAAGGGAAUUUUCUUAUUUGUAUUUCCUCCAUAUCCAUGAGAGCACCACUGUCCUUUGUUCUUAUAUGUACUGCUCUCAAGUCUGGAAGACCAAUAAAUGCAAACCCUUCUUCAGGCAGCAAUUACUUUCUCAGUCUUUAUAACUGAAGAGGGAGUCCUUCUCCCCAUCUCUCUGCUUUGAUAAAAUUAAAGACUAAUAUAUUAAUGGUAGUUCCUCCUUCUGCCCUCAGCCAAAUGCCACAGGUAUCCUCAGCUUCUGUCCACUACACCUUUAACAGCCAAGUCAUAGUCUGGGUAUAGGGAGAGCUGAUGUAACAUGAUGGCCAGGUUAACAGGUCUAAUAAAGCUGUAGGAAUUUGAGAUUUUCUU